GUGCCAGCCGCCGCGGUAAUACCGGCAGCUCAAGUGAUGUCCCAUAUUAUUGGGCCUAAAGCGUCCGUAGCUGGCCGACCAAGUCUCCCGGGAAAUCCGUCAGCCCAACUGACGGGCGUCCGGUGGAAACUGUGUGGCUUGGGACCGGAAGACCCGAAGGGUACGUCUUGGGUAGGAGUGAAAUCCCGUAAUCCUGGACGGACCGCCGAUGGCGAAAGCACUUCGGGAAGACGGAUCCGACGGUGAGGAACGAAAGCCAGGGUCUCGAACCGGAUUAGAUACCCUGGUAGUCC
RNAcentral lists this ribosomal RNA (293 nucleotides) under uncultured bacterium. RNAcentral's name for it is "partial 16S ribosomal RNA". It matches the Rfam family "Archaeal small subunit ribosomal RNA", at positions 455 to 747 of the family's 1478-position model. The record is from RNAcentral.